This 339-nucleotide ribosomal RNA is filed under the name uncultured crenarchaeote. RNAcentral describes it as "bacterial SSU rRNA". It matches the Rfam family "Archaeal small subunit ribosomal RNA", at positions 101 to 421 of the family's 1478-position model. Lineage: Archaea; Thermoproteati; Thermoproteota. The record is from RNAcentral.
UAGUCAACCUGCCCUGGAGACNAGGANAACCCCGGGAAACUGGGAUUAAUCCUUGAUAGGUCAUCUCAUCUGGAAGGAGAGAUGGCUUAAAGGGGUACGCGGGCUUCUUNCGUGCAUCUGCUCCAGGAUGGGACUGCGUCCGAUCAGGCUGUUGGCGGGGUAAUGGCCCACCAAACCUGUAACCGGUACGGGCCUUGAGAGAGGUGGCCCGGAGAUGGACACUGAGAGAAGGGUCCAGGUCCUACGGGGCGCAGCAGGCGCGAAACCUUCGCAAUGCGCGAAAGCGUGACGAGGUUAAUCCGAGUGGCUNCCGCUGAGGGGGUCUUUUGUCAGGCUGUA